ACCGCUGAAACUAAGCAUAUCAAUAAGCGGAGGAAAAGAAACUAACAAGGAUUCCCCUAGUAACUGCGAGUGAAGCGGGAAAAGCUCAAAUUUAAAAUCUGGCAGUCUCUGGCUGUCCGAGUUGUAAUCUAGAGAAGUAAUGCCCGUGCUGGACCGUGUAUAAGUCUCCUGGGAUGGGGCGUCAUAGAGGGUGAGAAUCCCGUCUUUGACACGGACUACCAGUGCAUUGUGGUAUGCUCUCAAAGAGUCGAGUUGUUUGGGAAUGCAGCUCAAAAUGGGUGGUAAAUUCCAUCUAAAGCUAAAUAUUGGCGAGAGACCGAUAGCGAACAAGUACCGUGAGGGAAAGAUGAAAAGAACUUUGGAAAGAGAGUUAAACAGUACGUGAAAUUGCUGAAAGGGAAAUGCUUGAAGUCAGUCMCGUUGGCCAGGAAUCAGCCUUGCUUUUGCAUGGUGUACUUUCUGGUUGACGGGUCAGCAUCAAUUUUGACCGCUGGAAAAAGACCUGGGGAAUGUGGCAGCUUCGGCUGUGUUAUAGCCCCUAGUCACAUACAGUGGUUGGGAUUGAGGAACUCAGCACGCCGCAAGGCCGGGUUUCGACCACGUUCGUGCUUAGGAUGCUGGCAUAAUGGCUUUAAGCGACCCGUCUUGAAACACGGACCAAGGAGUCUAACAUGCCUGCGAGUAUUUGGGUGGAAAACCCAAGUGCGUAAUGAAAGUGAAAGUUGAGAUCCCUGUCGUGGGGAGCAUCGACGCCCGGACCAGAACUUUUGGGACGGAUCCGCGGUGGAGCAUGUAUGUUGGGACCCGAAAGAUGGUGAACUAUGCCUGAAUAGGGUGAAGCCAGAGGAAACUCUGGUGGAGGCUCGUAGCGAUUCUGACGUGCAAAUCGAUCGUCAAAUUUGGGUAUAGGGGCGAAAGACU
This 921-nucleotide ribosomal RNA is filed under the name Agaricus sp. RNAcentral's name for it is "LSU rRNA". It matches the Rfam family "Eukaryotic large subunit ribosomal RNA", at positions 24 to 932 of the family's 3401-position model. Lineage: Eukaryota; Fungi; Basidiomycota; Agaricomycetes; Agaricales; Agaricaceae. The record is from RNAcentral.